Molecule: ribosomal RNA, 404 nt
Filed under: uncultured bacterium
Lineage: Bacteria
Description: partial 16S ribosomal RNA
Rfam family: Bacterial small subunit ribosomal RNA
Source: RNAcentral
AUUGAACGCUGGCGGCAGGCCUAACACAUGCAAGUCGAGCGAGCCGCGGACGGGUGUGUAAUGUCUGGAAAUUGCCCAGUCGAGGGGGAUAACCGUUGGAAAGGACUGCUAAUCCCCCAUACGAUUUGCUUCCCUAGGUGGGAUUAGCUAGUUGGUGGGGUAAUGGCUCCCCAAGGCGACGAUCCCUAGCUGGUCUGAGAGGAUGACCAGCCAAACGGGAACGGAGACACGGUCCAGACGCCUACGGGAGGCAGCAGUGGGGAAUAUUGGACAAUGGGGGAAACCCUGAUGCAGCCAUGCCGCGUGGGUGAAGAAGGCCUUCGGGUUGGAAAGUACUGUCAGCGGGGAGGCGUUACCCGCAGAAGAAGCACCGGCUAACUCCGUGCCAGCAGCCGCGGUAAUUC